RNAcentral lists this ribosomal RNA (402 nucleotides) under uncultured bacterium. Its description in RNAcentral is "bacterial SSU rRNA". It matches the Rfam family "Bacterial small subunit ribosomal RNA", at positions 134 to 552 of the family's 1533-position model. The record is from RNAcentral.
CAGAGGGGGACAACAGUUGGAAACGACCGCUAAUACCGCAUAACAUAUAGAUGUCGCAUGGCAUUUAUAUCAAAGAUUUAUCGCUGAAAGAUGGCCUCGCGUCUGAUUAGCUAGUUGGUGAGGUAACGGCCCACCAAGGCGACGAUCAGUAGCCGGACUGAGAGGUUGAACGGCCACAUUGGGACUGAGAUACGGCCCAGACUCCUACGGGAGGCAGCAGUGGGGGAUAUUGCACAAUGGGGGAAACCCUGAUGCAGCGACGCCGCGUGAGGGAAGACGGUCCUCUGGAUUGUAAACCUCUGUCUUCGGGGACGAAACGAGACGGUACCCGAGGAGGAAGCCACGGCUAACUACGUGCCAGCAGCCGCGGUAAUACGUAGGUGGCAAGCGUUGUCCGGAAUU